This 236-nucleotide non-coding RNA is filed under the name Snodgrassella alvi. Lineage: Bacteria; Pseudomonadati; Pseudomonadota; Betaproteobacteria; Neisseriales; Neisseriaceae. The record is from RNAcentral.
AAGGAGUGAGCAAUAAACAUAAUAAACCUGGAACAGCAGCAGCUAAAGCCCAUUGACCCCAACUUAAAUCAAUUUUCAAGAUUGGUGCCAUCAUAGACAAUGCCAGCGCAUUAGGCGCCAUUGCCGUCAGGAACAUGUAACUGGUGGUUUUAGUCACCAUAUAAAUAUUGAUCAUCAGGUAAUGGCCAGCUUUGCGCGAACUUGUACCCGGUUCUGAACCCAAAGCACUGGCUACA